AUUGAACGCUGGCGGCAUGCCUUACACAUGCAAGUCGAACGGUAACGGGCCUUCGGGUGCCGACGAGUGGCGAACGGGUGAGUAAUGUAUCGGAACGUACCUUUCAGUGGGGGAUAACGUAGCGAAAGUUACGCUAAUACCGCAUAUUCUGUGAGCAGGAAAGCAGGGGAUCGCAAGACCUUGCGCUGAUUGAGCGGCCGAUAUCAGAUUAGCUAGUUGGUGAGGUAAAGGCUCACCAAGGCGACGAUCUGUAGCGGGUCUGAGAGGAUGAUCCGCCACACUGGAACUGAGACACGGUCCAGACUCCUACGGGAGGCAGCAGUGGGGAAUUUUGGACAAUGGGCGCAAGCCUGAUCCAGCCAUGCCGCGUGAGUGAAG
This 378-nucleotide ribosomal RNA is filed under the name uncultured bacterium. RNAcentral's name for it is "bacterial SSU rRNA". It matches the Rfam family "Bacterial small subunit ribosomal RNA", at positions 30 to 410 of the family's 1533-position model. The record is from RNAcentral.